UAGCUUAGUUGGUAGAGCGUGUGCCUUGUAAGCGCUAGGCCGCGGGUUUGAUUCCCGC
This 58-nucleotide transfer RNA is filed under the name Diaphorina citri (Asian citrus psyllid). It matches the Rfam family "tRNA", at positions 8 to 63 of the family's 71-position model. Rfam says of the family: Transfer RNA (tRNA) molecules are approximately 80 nucleotides in length. Their secondary structure includes four short double-helical elements and three loops (D, anti-codon, and T loops). The record is from Rfam by way of RNAcentral. Lineage: Eukaryota; Metazoa; Arthropoda; Insecta; Hemiptera; Psyllidae.